Molecule: ribosomal RNA, 248 nt
Filed under: uncultured bacterium
Lineage: Bacteria
Description: partial 16S ribosomal RNA
Rfam family: Bacterial small subunit ribosomal RNA
Source: RNAcentral
AGUAACGCGUGAGCAAUCUGCCUUUAAGAGGGGGAUAACAGUCGGAAACGGCUGCUAAUACCGCAUAAAGCAUUGAAUUCGCAUGUUUUCGAUGCCAAAGGAGCAAUCCGCUUUUAGAUGAGCUCGCGUCUGAUUAGCUAGUUGGCGGGGUAACGGCCCACCAAGGCGACGAUCAGUAGCCGGACUGAGAGGUUGAACGGCCACAUUGGGACUGAGACACGGCCCAGACUCCUACGGGAGGCAGCAUG